UCCCUUGUGGCUCAGCGGGUAAAGAAUCUGCCUGCGAUGCAGGAGACCUGGGUUAGAUCCCUAGCUUGGGAA
Molecule: transfer RNA, 72 nt
Filed under: Ovis aries (sheep)
Lineage: Eukaryota; Metazoa; Chordata; Mammalia; Artiodactyla; Bovidae
Rfam family: tRNA
About the family: Transfer RNA (tRNA) molecules are approximately 80 nucleotides in length. Their secondary structure includes four short double-helical elements and three loops (D, anti-codon, and T loops).
Source: Rfam by way of RNAcentral